Quercus lobata is the source of this 3157-nucleotide RNA transcript. It is a transcript of the gene named casein kinase 1-like protein 3, with no coding region annotated. The transcript has 16 exons. The record is from RefSeq and is a predicted model, not a curated record. Lineage: Eukaryota; Viridiplantae; Streptophyta; Magnoliopsida; Fagales; Fagaceae.
AAAUCUACCCCUCAACUUUCCUUCUUCAGUCCUCAACUACUACUACAAUCAACUCUACAGCGACAAAAAUCACGCUCUCAAAUUUUUUUUUUUUUUUCUCAUGUCUGUGUGGCUUCAGUUUUAUCUCAGCUAAGCUAUAUAAAAAAAAAAAAAAAAGAGUUGUCUCUUCUAGUUCUUCUUCUUUUCGAUCCGAAAGUCCAAAACCCUAGCUCCGAUUGAAAGAAAGAGGGAGAUCGGAAUCGUUGAGCAUGGAACGAAUCGUCGGCGGCAAGUACAAGCUCGGCCGCAAGAUCGGCAGUGGAUCCUUCGGCGAAAUCUUCCUCGCUACUCAUGUAGAUUCCUUUGAGAUCGUCGCCGUUAAGAUCGAAAAUAGUAAAACAAAGCAUCCGCAGUUGCUUUACGAGGCCAAGUUAUACAACAUUCUUCAAGGAGGAAGGGGUAUUCCUAAUAUAAGAUGGUCUGGGAUAGACGGUGAGGAUAAUGUACUUGUGCUUGAUUUGUUGGGGCCGAGUCUCGAGGACCUGUUGGUGUAUUGCGGGAGGAAGUUCUCGUUGAAGACGGUGUUGAUGUUGGCUGAUCAAAUGAUUACGAGAAUUGAGUACGUGCACUCCAAAGGAUUUUUGCAUAGAGACAUAAAACCUGACAACUUCCUCAUGGGUCUUGGUCGGAAAGCAAAUCAGGUCUACAUAAUUGAUUUUGGGCUUGCAAAAAGAUAUCGGGAUGCAACAACCAAUCGUCAUAUUCCUUACAGGGAGAAUAAAAACUUGACGGGGACUGCGCGUUAUGCAAGUUGCAAUACUCAUCUUGGAAUCGAGCAAAGCCGGCGGGAUGAUUUGGAAUCACUUGGAUAUGUGCUUUUAUAUUUUUUGAGAGGAAGCCUUCCAUGGCAGGGUUUAAAAGCUGCUACAAAGAAGCAAAAGUAUGACAAAAUAUGUGAGAAGAAGUUAUCGACUCCUAUUGAGGUUCUCUGCAAAUCGCAUCCGGUGGAGUUUGCUUCAUACUUUCAUUACUGUCACUCACUAACAUUUGAUCAGCGGCCUGAUUAUGGAUUCUUAAAGCGUCUCUUCCAUGACUUAUUUGAUCGGGAAGGGUAUGAGUUAGAUUACAUAUUUGAUUGGACAAUCAUAAAGUACCAGCAGUCUCAAAAGAGUAGAACCCAACCUCGAUUAUCUCCAGUUCCCAGAGGGAGCAGCAGCCAUGCAAUGCCAAUGGAUGUGGACAAUCAUCAAGGUGUUAAUGCUUACCCAGCUGAAGCAACAGAGCGCAUUAGAACUGGAAAUUCUAGCGGUCCUGGUGUUCGGAUGCACUUUAAAUCACCAAUGACCAAGAAUGUAAAUUCUGAGAAUCCUAUCGAGAAGAAUGUUCUGAGUGAAGCACACAUGGCCUCUACUUCAUAUUCACUUGCUGGUACCUCCAAACGAAAUUCCUCAAAGCCUAUUUUGCCCUCUGAAGCAACAAAUCCUGGUAAUGGAAAUGGCAAUAGAAUGGGUCCUUCGAGUAGCUGGAUUUCAUCACUGCCGCGCAUCUCUUCUGCGAAGUGAUGUGCUAUGGAUCUGCUCAAGAAGAUUCUAGUGAUACAAUAUUUGAAGCUGCAAAGGUGUGGGGAUUCGAUGUUAUGUUUCUGUUAUGUAUGUGAUCAAGAAGAUUCUAGUGAUGCAUCUGUGGAGGCUGCAAAAUGUGUCGCUAAUUUGAUGUGUUGCAUUAGCUCCUCUAUUGAUGCCAGCAUGCGUAAUUUUUUCUUAAGGAUUUUUCUUCUGCUACAGCUAGUUUGAAGAUGGAAUAUGGCAGGCUAAUACCAUUUAUGGAUGGUAUAUGAAGACCAUAAAAACCUCUUCUCUGCAAGCUACUACUACUGGUCAGGAAAGAUGCCAUCCCAGUGCUUACCGGAGAAGUCUGCAUAAAAAGAAAUGUUGACAACAUGGAAUUGAUAUGUUGACCGUAUGGAGUUUUUGUAUGCUAGUUCUUGAAAUUUGGAGAUGUCAUGAAAAUUGCACCCUUGAUUUCAACAAAAAAUUAUGAAAUUAUUGGUAGCUUCUUCUCUGCAGGAAGAAGUGCUUCUGCUUGAAAAGGGGUGGGUUAGAUUAUUCCUUCUCUUACUAGGAGUGGUAUUUAAUGCACCACAAUUAUUACUUGGAUGUGUUGAAAUCUGCUGAGCCCUUUGUGCUGGAUGCUUGGGACUCAAUUAAUAUCCUGAUGUAGUCUAAUCGGGAGAUUAUAAGAAGCCUGAUAUCUUUCUUUUAUUGCUAUUCCAUUUUUGUCUGAAAGGUAAGCUUGUCCUGCCAGGUACAUCCCUCCUGAAUGCAGGUUAGUAUGGAAGUUUUUCAAUUACUUUUGGUUCGCUAGGAAUCUGUCACAAUUUUUAUGGAUUGUCAACUUAUUGCAUUGGGCACAUGGGAUUGUUUGGUGCAUUUGCACUAUGAGACUUGAAAUCCAGGCAGCUGACUUGUAUGUUAUUUCAAAGCACCAAUGUGGUGGCAUCAACUGUUUUAAGGAGCCAAGUGUUACCAUUGGACAUUUUAGGUAAAAUUAUGUGGAGAAUUAGAUUUGCUUUUAACAUUGGGGUUCUUUUUCUAUGUUUUAAUGCUGAUAUUCCUGUGGGCAUUAGUGUAUUUCAUGACUCCAGUCAAUGUGAGCUGUCCCAGGAAAAAAGAAGAAAUGUUUUAGGAAAUGAGUAGUGUGCAGCAGCAGUCAAGGUGAGAUCCCAAAAGGUAGUUAUAUUGUUAUCCACUCCUAUUAAAUCAUUCAUCAAAGAUGAUGAUUCCUAUUAAAGUUUGGCCUUUAAAAUGCAUUGAUAAUCUAUACUUCAUGUUCAUCUGCCAAGGAAACCCCAACCCAUUUCAGUUUUAUUAUUUGGGGUCACUGAUAUUUCAGGCAUUGUGGCAGUCUCUGGCUCCGAGUUGCUUGUACCAGAAGGAUGCCAGACAGGAAAAUAUUGUUUUGAAAGUUGGAACCAUAUAGAUUUUGUAGUGGCUACUGUUGUGAUCCAAUGCAUGCAGGAUUUGGUAAAGUUCUCGGUAUAUGUUUGCUGAAAAUUGGUUUAGCGUGCUGAAUGUGACCUGAGACUUGAUCUUGAGGAGUUUGCUUUGUCUAGUAAAUGAAAGAACCGCAGUGGUGUAUUGCAAAAUUUUUGGUCGUAAUUUACUUUCAUUCUACUGUU